AGAGUUUGAUCUUGGCUCAGGAUGAACGCUAGCUACAGGCUUAACACAUGCAAGUCGAGGGGCAGCAUUUUAGUUUGCUUGCAAACUAAAGAUGGCGACCGGCGCACGGGUGAGUAACACGUAUCCAACCUGCCGAUAACUCGGGGAUAGCCUUUCGAAAGAAAGAUUAAUAUCCGAUAGUAUAUUAAAACCGCAUGGUUUUACUAUUAAAGAAUUUCGGUUAUCGAUGGGGAUGCGUUCCAUUAGUUUGUUGGCGGGGUAACGGCCACCAAGACUACGAUGGAUAGGGGUUCUGAGAGGAAGGUCCCCCANAUUGGAACUGAGACACGGUCCAAACUCCUACGGGAGGCA
This 351-nucleotide ribosomal RNA is filed under the name uncultured bacterium. RNAcentral's name for it is "bacterial SSU rRNA". It matches the Rfam family "Bacterial small subunit ribosomal RNA", at positions 8 to 350 of the family's 1533-position model. The record is from RNAcentral.